RNAcentral lists this ribosomal RNA (255 nucleotides) under uncultured bacterium. RNAcentral's name for it is "partial 16S ribosomal RNA". It matches the Rfam family "Bacterial small subunit ribosomal RNA", at positions 524 to 776 of the family's 1533-position model. The record is from RNAcentral.
UACGUAGGGCGCAAGCGUUAUCCGGAAUUAUUGGGCGUAAAGAGCUCGUAGGCGGUUUGUCGCGUCUGCCGUGAAAGUCCGGGGCUCAACUCCGGAUCUGCGGUGGGUACGGGGCAGACUAGAGUGAUGUAGGGGGAGACUGGAAUUCCUGGUGUAGCGGUGAAAUGCGCAGAUAUCAGGAGGAACACCGAUGGCGAAGGCAGGUCUCUGGGCAUUAACUGACGCUGAGGAGCGAAAGCAUGGGGAGCGAACAGG